GACGUAGGUGGCGAACGUUAUCCGGAAUUAUUGGGCGUAAAGCGUGCGCAGGCGGUUUUGCAAGCCGGAUGUGAAAUCCCCGGGCUCAACCUGGGAAUGGCAUUCGGGACUGCAAGGCUGGAGUGCGGCAGAGGAGACUGGAAUUCCUGGUGUAGCAGUGAAAUGCGUAGAUAUCAGGAGGAAUACCGAUGGCGAAGGCAGGUCUCUGGGCUGACACUGACGCUCAUGCACGAAAGCGUGGGGAGCAAACAGG
This 253-nucleotide ribosomal RNA is filed under the name uncultured bacterium. RNAcentral describes it as "partial 16S ribosomal RNA". It matches the Rfam family "Bacterial small subunit ribosomal RNA", at positions 524 to 776 of the family's 1533-position model. The record is from RNAcentral.